AUUGAACGCUGGCGGCAGGCCUAACACCUGCAAGUCGAGCGAGCGGCGGACGGGUGAGUAAUGUAUGGGGAUCUGCCCGAUAGAGGGGGAUAACUACUGGAAACGGUGGCUAAUACCGCAUACUAUCGGAUGAACCCAUAUGGGAUUAGCUAGUAGGUGGGGUAAAGGCUCACCUAGGCGACGAUCUCUAGCUGGUCUGAGAGGAUGAUCAGCCACACUGGAACUGAGACAAGGCCCAGACUCCUACGGGAGGCAGCAGGGGGGAAUAUUGCACAAUGGGCGCAAGCCUGAUGCAGCCAUGCCGCGUGUGUGAAGAAGGCCUUCGGGUGGGAAAGCACUUUCAGCGAGGAGGCGUUACUCGCAGAAGAAGCACCGGAUAACUCCGUGCCAGCAGACGCGGUAAUUC
RNAcentral lists this ribosomal RNA (406 nucleotides) under uncultured bacterium. RNAcentral describes it as "partial 16S ribosomal RNA". It matches the Rfam family "Bacterial small subunit ribosomal RNA", at positions 30 to 526 of the family's 1533-position model. The record is from RNAcentral.